Molecule: transfer RNA, 73 nt
Filed under: Rhamphocottus richardsonii (grunt sculpin)
Lineage: Eukaryota; Metazoa; Chordata; Actinopteri; Perciformes; Rhamphocottidae
Description: tRNA-Val
Rfam family: tRNA
About the family: Transfer RNA (tRNA) molecules are approximately 80 nucleotides in length. Their secondary structure includes four short double-helical elements and three loops (D, anti-codon, and T loops). Further hydrogen bonds mediate the characteristic L-shaped molecular structure. tRNAs have two regions of fundamental functional importance: the anti-codon, which is responsible for specific mRNA codon recognition, and the 3' end, to which the tRNAs corresponding amino acid is attached (by aminoacyl-tRNA synthetases). tRNAs cope with the degeneracy of the genetic code in two manners: having more than one tRNA (with a specific anti-codon) for a particular amino acid; and 'wobble' base-pairing, i.e. permitting non-standard base-pairing at the 3rd anti-codon position.
Source: RNAcentral
CAGAGUGUGGCUAAGACAGAAAAGCAUCUCCCUUACACUGAGAAGUCGCCCGUGCAAGCCGGGCCACCCUGAC